CCCUUAGAUGUUCUGGGCCGCACGCGCGCUACACUGAUGCAUUCAACGAGUCUAAAACCUGCUCUGAUAGGGGUGGGUAAUCUUUUGAAUGUGCAUCGUGAUUGGGAUAGAUGAUUGCAAUUUUUCAUCUUCAACGAGGAAUGCCUAGUAAACGCAAGUCAUCAGCUUGCAUUGAUUACGUCCCUGCCCUUUGUACACACCUCCCGUCGCUCCUACCGAUUGAAUGAUCCGAUGAAUAUCAUGGAUUGAGGAUGCAAGUAGGUUAGCCUAUCUUCAUCUUCGAGAAGUGAAGUAAAUCUUAUCAUUUAGAGGAAGGAGAAGUCGUAACA
RNAcentral lists this ribosomal RNA (329 nucleotides) under uncultured eukaryote. RNAcentral's name for it is "partial 18S ribosomal RNA". It matches the Rfam family "Eukaryotic small subunit ribosomal RNA", at positions 1470 to 1796 of the family's 1831-position model. The record is from RNAcentral.